Molecule: ribosomal RNA, 253 nt
Filed under: uncultured bacterium
Lineage: Bacteria
Description: partial 16S ribosomal RNA
Rfam family: Bacterial small subunit ribosomal RNA
Source: RNAcentral
UACGUAGGGGGCAAGCGUUGUCCGGAAUGAUUGGGCGUAAAGGGCGCGUAGGCGGCCGCGUAAGUCCGACGUGAAAUUCCUGUUUUUAAGGUAGGAAUUGCGUUGGAAACUGUGCGGCUUGAGUGCAGGAGAGGUAAGUGGAAUUCCCGGUGUAGCGGUGAAAUGCGUAGAGAUCGGGAGGAACACCAGUGGCGAAGGCGACUUACUGGACUGUAACUGACGCUGAGGCGCGAAAGUGUGGGGAGCAAACAGG